Molecule: ribosomal RNA, 373 nt
Filed under: uncultured organism
Description: partial 16S ribosomal RNA
Rfam family: Bacterial small subunit ribosomal RNA
Source: RNAcentral
GUAGGUGGCAAGCGUUGUCCGGAAUUAUUGGGCGUAAAGCGCGCGCAGGCGGUUCUUUAAGUCUGAUGUGAAAGCCCACGGCUCAACCGUGGAGGGUCAUUGGAAACUGGAGAACUUGAGUACAGAAGAGGAAAGCGGAAUUCCACGUGUAGCGGUGAAAUGCGUAGAGAUGUGGAGGAACACCAGUGGCGAAGGCGGCUUUCUGGUCUGUAACUGACGCUGAGGCGCGAAAGCGUAGGGAGCAAACAGGGAUUAGAUACCCUGGUAGUCCACGCCGUAAACGAUGAGUGCUAAGUGUUAGGGGGUUUCCGCCCCCUUAGUGCUGCAGCUAACGCAUUAAGCACUCCGCCUGGGGAGUACGGCCGCAAGGCUG